Molecule: ribosomal RNA, 465 nt
Filed under: Vreelandella stevensii
Lineage: Bacteria; Pseudomonadati; Pseudomonadota; Gammaproteobacteria; Oceanospirillales; Halomonadaceae
Description: partial 16S ribosomal RNA
Rfam family: Bacterial small subunit ribosomal RNA
Source: RNAcentral
CCUACGGGCGGCUGCAGUGGGGAAUAUUGGUCAAUGGGGGCAACCCUGAUCCAGCCAUGCCGCGUGUGUGAAGAAGGCCCUCGGGUUGUAAAGCACUUUCAGUGAGGAAGAACGCCUGGUGGUUAAUACCCAUCAGGAAAGACAUCACUCACAGAAGAAGCACCGGCUAACUCCGUGCCAGCAGCCGCGGUAAUACGGAGGGUGCGAGCGUUAAUCGGAAUUACUGGGCGUAAAGCGCGCGUAGGUGGCUUGAUAAGCCGGUUGUGAAAGCCCCGGGCUCAACCUGGGAACGGCAUCCGGAACUGUCAAGCUAGAGUGCAGGAGAGGAAGGUAGAAUUCCCGGUGUAGCGGUGAAAUGCGUAGAGAUCGGGAGGAAUACCAGUGGCGAAGGCGGCCUUCUGGACUGACACUGACACUGAGGUGCGAAAGCGUGGGUAGCAAACAGGAUUAGAUACCCUUGUAGUC